GACGAACGCUGGCGGCGUGCUUAACACAUGCAAGUCGAACGAAGAGCGAUGGAAGCUUGCUUCUAUCACUCUUAGUGGCGAACGGGUGAGUAACGCGUAAUCAACCUGCCCUUCAGAGGGGGACAACAGUUGGAAACGACUGCUAAUACCGCAUACGAUCUAAUCUCGGCAUCGAGGAUAGAUGAAAGGUGGCCUCUACAUGUAAGCUACCACUGAAGGAGGGGAUUGCGUCUGAUUAGCUAGUUGGAGGGGUAACGGCCCACCAAGGCGAUGAUCAGUAGCCGGUCUGAGAGGAUGAACGGCCACAUUGGGACUGAGACACGGCCCAGACUCCUACGGGAGGCAGCAGUGGGGAAUCUUCCGCAAUGGACGAAAGUCUGACGGAGCAACGCCGCGUGAGUGAUGACGGCCUUCGGGUUGUAAAGCUCUGUUAAUCGGGACGAAAGGCCUUCUUGCGAAUAGUGAGAAGGAUUGACGGUACCGGAAGAGAAAGCCACGGCUAACUACGUG
Molecule: ribosomal RNA, 510 nt
Filed under: uncultured bacterium
Lineage: Bacteria
Description: partial 16S ribosomal RNA
Rfam family: Bacterial small subunit ribosomal RNA
Source: RNAcentral